CGACCGGCGCACGGGUGCGUAACGCGUAUGCAACCUACCUGUAACAGGGGGAUAACACUGAGAAAUCGGUACUAAUACCGCAUAACACUAUGAGAGGCAUCUCUUGUGGUUGAAAGUUUCGGCGGUUACAGAUGGGCAUGCGUUGUAUUAGCUGGUUGGUAAGGUAACGGCUUACCAAGGCGACGAUACAUAGGGGGACUGAGAGGUUAACCCCCCCACAUUGGUACUGAGACACGGACCAAACUCCUACGGAAGGCAGCAG
RNAcentral lists this ribosomal RNA (262 nucleotides) under uncultured bacterium. Its description in RNAcentral is "partial 16S ribosomal RNA". It matches the Rfam family "Bacterial small subunit ribosomal RNA", at positions 92 to 354 of the family's 1533-position model. The record is from RNAcentral.